GUCCCUGAAGCGCAAUGGGUUACGCGUUGGAAUUCUAAUCCAAAGGUCGUGGGUUCGAAUUCCACCUGUGAUG
Molecule: transfer RNA, 73 nt
Filed under: Trichonephila clavata
Lineage: Eukaryota; Metazoa; Arthropoda; Arachnida; Araneae; Nephilidae
Rfam family: tRNA
About the family: Transfer RNA (tRNA) molecules are approximately 80 nucleotides in length. Their secondary structure includes four short double-helical elements and three loops (D, anti-codon, and T loops).
Source: Rfam by way of RNAcentral